GGAUUUAGUAUUGGGUUGGCUGAAAAGUUCGUUCGGGUUUUUCCAUAAGAACUCAAAUAAACUUUUUGGCCAACCCAGUAAUAACACUGAUGCACC
Molecule: microRNA precursor, 96 nt
Organism: Bos indicus x Bos taurus (hybrid cattle)
Lineage: Eukaryota; Metazoa; Chordata; Mammalia; Artiodactyla; Bovidae
Source: Ensembl